RNAcentral lists this ribosomal RNA (548 nucleotides) under uncultured bacterium. RNAcentral describes it as "partial 16S ribosomal RNA". It matches the Rfam family "Bacterial small subunit ribosomal RNA", at positions 354 to 895 of the family's 1533-position model. The record is from RNAcentral.
UGGGGGAAUUUUGGACAAUGGGGGAAACCCUGAUCCAGCCAUCCCGCGUGUGCGAUGAAGGCCUUCGGGUUGUAAAGCACUUUUGGCAGGAAAGAAACGUCGCGGGUUAAUACCCCGCGAAACUGACGGUACCUGCAGAAUAAGCACCGGCUAACUACGUGCCAGCAGCCGCGGUAAUACGUAGGGUGCAAGCGUUAAUCGGAAUUACUGGGCGUAAAGCGUGCGCAGGCGGUUCGGAAAGAAAGAUGUGAAAUCCCAGAGCUUAACUUUGGAACUGCAUUUUUAACUACCGGGCUAGAGUGUGUCAGAGGGAGGUGGAAUUCCGCGUGUAGCAGUGAAAUGCGUAGAUAUGCGGAGGAACACCGAUGGCGAAGGCAGCCUCCUGGGAUAACACUGACGCUCAUGCACGAAAGCGUGGGGAGCAAACAGGAUUAGAUACCCUGGUAGUCCACGCCCUAAACGAUGUCAACUAGCUGUUGGGGCCUUCGGGCCUUGGUAGCGCAGCUAACGCGUGAAGUUGACCGCCUGGGGAGUACGGUCGCAAGAUU